Aquila chrysaetos chrysaetos is the source of this 2408-nucleotide RNA transcript. It is a transcript of the gene named coiled-coil domain containing 178, with no coding region annotated. The transcript has 13 exons. Lineage: Eukaryota; Metazoa; Chordata; Aves; Accipitriformes; Accipitridae. The record is from RefSeq and is a predicted model, not a curated record.
GCUAUAUCCUUCAAAAUUUGGGUGGAUCAGUUCCACAAGUCAUUAAGACCUUAACCCAUUCAUGCCAGGAAGGUCUGAGGAGAUAAGGCUACCAGCAAUAAUGUUUGAAACACAGUCAUUUUCCUGUUCUUCUAAGGACAGUAAUGAGCCAUCCCAAGUAUGGUUAUGUGUUUAAGGAGGAGAAGAUACCACGGGUAACAAAACACGUCAGUCCUGAAUCUAUUGAAGAUACCUGGUUAUCACUAUCCACUAAGUUGGAUUUUAAGGAAGCUGAUGUAUCUUGUGAAGACAGCAAGACAUUAACCUUGAAGCAGGAAACAGAAGCUUUGCUAUUGGAAGUUACUGAGCUAAUUAAGCGGCUGGAGGCUGAUCGUGAGGAGGCAGAAAAAGCUUUGGAGUUGGAGAAACAGCGAAGGAAAAAGCUUGGCAUGAAAAUUGAUUGUAUGUCACUUUGGAGGCUUCAGCAGCUCCCUGCAGCCGUGCAAAAAGAAUAUGAAACGUGUGUUCAAGAUACCUUGGAGCUACAGUGGCAUUUUGAUUGUAAAAGCCAUCAGCUGCGACAGGUACAAAACCAAAUACUUAAGAUAGAAACAGUCAACAGAAAGAUUCAGGAGGAUAUAGACUUCAUGAAGAAACACAGCCCUCUGCUGGAAGAAAAGCUGAAUCUAGAGGGUGAAGCUGUGAAGGAUGUGUUACUGGCUUAUGAAAAGACAUCAAAAAUAUAUAGUGAUGUUCGUUGCGAACUCAUGGAAAUCCAAAGGACAAUUAAAAGAAUUGAUGAAGAAUCGGAAAAGAAGAUACAAUCUAUGUAUGAGAAAAUUGAAUAUGCUGAGAUGCUAUCGAGUCAAUACAAGAAUAAGUUAAAGCAUUCUGAAUUUAUUUGGACCGAAUACUGUAUGAAGUUAAAAGAAACAGAGGAGAAGAUUAUAAAGGAUGAAAAACACCUUGAGGAGUUAGUGGAGCAAAAAGCAGAAAUCCAGGAAGAUGCAAAAUGUUGGAACAGCAAAAUAGAAGAUUUGAAUAAUAAAAUAGCUGCCCAAGGAGAUGAGAGUAUAAAAAUAUCAGAUGCUUAUUCUGAAGUGAUUAAAGCUGUGGAAAAAUUAAAAUCCACCAAGGAAAGUGAUCUACAGAAUAUAAAGCAAAAGAUUCUCAAUAUUAAUGAAGCAUUGGACAGUUUGAAAUGUGAAAAUGAAGAACUUGAGAGAGAAAAUGAAGAGUUUUUACAAAAAUUCGUUAAUAGUUCAAGAAAAAAGAAGGCGUAUCAGUCAGAAGUCGAAACUGUCUGCAAAAGCAUGUGUAAGAUUGAACAGCAAAUAGAAAGACUAAAUGAAGAUCUCUGUAAUGCUGAAUUGUCCUACAGUGAAAAAAAAAAGGAAGUAUGAAGACUUAAAAAAAACCAAAACCGCAGAAGAAAUUUCUUACAAGAAUUCAGAGUGGAAUCUUAAAAAAGAAAUUCAAGAUCAAAAAGGAGUUUGGAAAGCGACUCAGCUCUUGAUUCAAACAGAAUGAUUCAGAGGGACCCAAUGUGCAGUGGAACUUACUGGACUUCAAGAACGGAAGGCAUCUUUCCAUGACUGAAAGUCUCUUCUGGUUUUCCACAGCUCUGUAGCCAGUAGUCAGUAGUUUCAUAUCAGUGACAUGUUAUAUUCAGACUCAGAGAAGAAAGGGAUAAUAUCAACACAAAGUGGCACUGAAAGUUCAUUCCAGCAAUUCAUUGUUUCUAUAUAGCUAAGAAGUCCAUUUCUCUUUCAAAGAGGAAUUUUCUUGCAAAUUCUCCAACUUCUAAAUCUAAAAUAGAUAGUAAUGAAAACUUUGCAUUUUUCUUGAGAACCUGCUUUUAGAGAUUCCACCUAAUAGAAUGAACUGUAAAGUCACAAAAAGUCCAAAAAACCCCCUCAGACUUCUAAAUUAUGCAUCCCAAAUGGCUAGUAUUCCUUUUUGUCAUUCUCUGAACGCAGAAGAUGCAGCACAGGGGAAUUUCUCCAUCAUGUGACUUGCUGAAAACUGGCAGCACGCUGGUUAGCCUUCUGGUUAUCAGAGCACUCUCUGUGCUUGAGGGGCAAAGGAGAAGAAGAGUUUGGGGUUGUUGGUGUUUUUUCAUUGCUUACUGCUUCUCAUUAGUGAAUAUUAAUGGUGACAAUAUUCAGAAACAAAUUUUCUUCCAGGCUAAUCUACCUUAUUCUAUUAAUGUUUCCAAUAAUCUGACAUAUCACGUGGCAUUUCAUCAGUCUAUCUUAAGACAGUCUGCUCUAGCCAUUUCCUGUUAUAUUUUGCAUUAUAUCAAAAUAUGUUCAAUAUCAAAUGUACUUAUCUAUUUGAAAUGAUCUUUCCUCUUUUUGUAAGAGUGCUGAUACCUGCCUGGCUUGAUAGAAAAACUGGGAAUAAAAAUUAAGCUGCUUUUACUUUUA